UUGAGUUUUGAGAUUCCACAACACAACAACCUGCGAACCGCGAAGUCAUCAAGGUGUGGCUGGGUUGCACUUCAACUUCUUUCACCUGUCCAUGGAAACAUCUUCAUCUUCAUCUUCAUCUUCAUCCAUGUCCAAUAAGACCAUAACCUUCGAAGAAUGGAACGGUUCAUCCCCCACCAAGCUCUCAAAGACUUUCACCAUCAAGGCUUCUUCUUCCUCUGUCACCAUUUCAAGAUCUGGUGCCCGAUUUACCCAUGUUUGGAGACGCUUACUUCAGGCAUUUGUCCCUGAGGGUUUUCCAAGCAGUGUGACUGCAGAUUAUGUUCCUUUUCAAAUAUGGGAUUCAUUGCAGGGCCUUUCAACGUAUAUAAGGACCAUGCUUUCUACCCAGGCUCUCUUGAGUGCUAUUGGGGUUGGUGAGAAAUCAGCUACUGUCAUUGGUGCCACUUUUCAGUGGUUUUUGAGGGAUCUAACUGGUAUGCUUGGAGGAAUCCUAUUCACAUUUUACCAGGGAUCAAAUCUUGACAGCAAUGCAAAAAGGUGGCGUUUGGUUGCAGAUCUUAUGAAUGACCUUGGAAUGCUAAUGGACCUCAUUUCUCCAUUGUUUCCAUCAGCUUUUGUGUUUGUUGUUUGCUUAGGAAGCAUAUCGAGAUCUUUCACUGGUGUUGCAAGUGGAGCCACUAGAGCAGCUUUGACUCAGCAUUUUGCUCUGCAGGAUAAUGCUGCAGACAUAUCUGCAAAGGAAGGAAGUCAAGAAACUGUGGCCACAAUGAUUGGCAUGGCAUUGGGAAUGCUUGUUGCUCGCAUCACCAUUGGACACCCACUAGCCAUUUGGUUUUCUUUUCUGUCUUUGACCGUGUUUCAUAUGUAUGCAAACUACCGAGCUGUUCGAUGCCUGGCACUGAACUCGUUAAACCCUGAAAGGAGCUCUAUUCUUUUGCAGCAUUUCAUGGGGACUGGCCAAGUUCUCUCCCCUGAACAGGUCUCUUCACAGGAGAGUGUUUUACCCUUACAGAUCAUUUCAUGGAGCUCAAAGAAUGCUAAUUCUCUGCAUAAGAAAGUACGUUUAGGCAUGAGGGUUUCUUCAUUCGAUAACAUGGAAAUCAAGGAGCAUUUGCUUUCUGCAGCACCUUACUACACAAAAGCUAAGUAUUUACUUGUGGAAAGGAAGGGAAUCGUUGAUGUUAUUGUGCAUAAGGAUUCAAAUGCAGCUGAUGUCCUAAAGUCAUUCUUUCAUGCUCUCGUCUUGGGAAAGAAUGUUCAUAAAAGCAAAUCUUUGCAUUCAGAUGGCCAAAAGUGGAUAGAUAAUCAAUAUGAAGUAUUUAUUCAGAAGCUCAAGUCAUCAGGCUGGAAAACUGAACGGCUUCUAUCACCUAUAAUAUGGAGGGCAUACUGGAUCUAUGAACCCUUGGAAGAAAAAAUUGAUUAGGGUCAUUAACGUUGUUCUAGACAAGGUGAUUAGCUGCAGCCCUGGAUGAAUUGAGAUUAUUUGAUGAGGAGAUUGAAUUUAGGGGCCUUUGUUUUGUUGCAAACUGGAAUGAUUAUGUUUCAAGAGUUGGUGUAUGAGUUUUUUCAAAUAUAUGAUUUCACCAAAGUUCUAUCAAGAUAAGGAAAUUUGACUGGGUUACUGCUGCACUUGAACCUCAUUUCUCUGUUGUAGCAGUUUAGAAAGAAAACAUGGUGGCUUUUAUUUAUAUACCUCAGAGAAUCAGUUGUGUUCUGCAUGAAGCAACUUCUAGGGCAUUUGGUAUAUAUAUGAUUAUUCAACGGUAAUUCAAUCUAGGAGGAUACUAAAUGCCAUACAAAUCAUGGUUGCCUAUGUCAAAAGUUAUUAUUAUUUUUACUUUUCAAAAUUUAAAUAAUUCUUUUAGAAACUUAGUAUAUAAUAAGUUCAGAUUCAGCUGAUCUCUGUCUAAUCUUUGUUUUAUUUUUCCCUUAUGUACUAUAGUUAGAAUUGUAAUUAGACUGGUUGAUUUAUAUCAUCCUUUGUAACUUCAAUUUUUAAUGAAAUAAGGAUAUUCACUUGCUCUUCUGAACUAUAGCUCAUGUUUCUUAUCUUGAUAUUUUUAGUUAUGAGUGUGUACAAUAGAAGAGGGAAUAUUGGCAAUCAAAGAUUGUAUGGCAUUUGGUAUUUU
This is an RNA transcript of Cajanus cajan (pigeon pea), 2135 nucleotides long. It is a transcript of the gene named root UVB sensitive protein (Protein of unknown function, DUF647), with no coding region annotated. The record is from RefSeq and is a predicted model, not a curated record. NCBI's taxonomy places the organism in Eukaryota, Viridiplantae, Streptophyta, Magnoliopsida, Fabales, Fabaceae.